AGCUUUGCGCAGUGGCAGUAUCGUAGCCAAUGAGGUUUAUCCGAGGCGCGAUUAUUGCUAAUUGAAAACUUUUCCCAUGAGCUCUUGAAAGAAAGUGAGCCAGCCUGCCAUAGACAAGCUAGGCCUAGGAAUCGUCCAAGCUCAUUACAAUGU
This 153-nucleotide small nuclear RNA is filed under the name Canis lupus familiaris (dog). RNAcentral describes it as "U4 spliceosomal RNA (ENSCAFG00030019303.1, ENSCAFG00040022091.1, ENSCAFG00805027949.1, ENSCAFG00845015869.1)". It matches the Rfam family "U4 spliceosomal RNA". Rfam says of the family: U4 small nuclear RNA (U4 snRNA) is a component of the major U2-dependent spliceosome. Lineage: Eukaryota; Metazoa; Chordata; Mammalia; Carnivora; Canidae. RNAcentral also lists the same sequence under 1 other name. The record is from Rfam by way of RNAcentral.